AAUGAACGCUGGCGGCAUGCCUUACACAUGCAAGUCGAACGGCAGCAUGACCUAGCUUGCUAGGUUGCUGGCGAGUGGCGCACGGGUGAGUCAUGCGUAGGAACGUGCCUUUUAGUGGGGGAUAACGUAGCGAAAGGGACGCUAAUACCGCAUAUUCUCUGAGGAGGAAAGCAGGGUGGCUACGGGCGUUGCGCUAGAAGCGCGUCGGUGGUCGGAUGCGCCAGUUGGUGGGGGAAAGGCUUACCAAGGCAACGGACCGGAACGCGUCUGAGAGGAGGAUCCGCCACAAGGGGACUGGGACACGGCCCCGGCUCCUAAGGGAGGGCGCAGGGGGGAAUUUUGGACAAUGGGCGGAAGCCUGAUCCAGCCAUGCCGGGUGAGUGAAGAAGGCCUUCGGGUUGUAAAGCUCUUUCGGCUGGGAAGAAAUCGCACUCUCUGAUACAGGGUGUGGAUGACGGUAACAGCAUAAGAAGCACCGGCUAACUACGUG
This 490-nucleotide ribosomal RNA is filed under the name uncultured bacterium. Its description in RNAcentral is "partial 16S ribosomal RNA". It matches the Rfam family "Bacterial small subunit ribosomal RNA", at positions 29 to 507 of the family's 1533-position model. The record is from RNAcentral.